GGUUAAGUUAGAAAGGGCGCACGGUGAAUGCCUUGGCACUAGGAGCCGAUGAAGGACGGGACUAACACCGAUAUGCUUCGGGGAGCUGUAAGUGAGCUUUGAUCCGGAGAUUUCCGAAUGGGGAAACCCACUGUUCGUAAUGGAACAGUAUCUUUAUCUGAAUACAUAGGAUAUUGAAGGCAGACCCGGGGAACUGAAACAUCUAAGUACCCGGAGGAAGAGAAAGCAAAUGCGAUUUCCUGAGUAGCGGCGAGCGAAACGGAAUUAGCCCAAACCAAGAGGCUUGCCUCUUGGGGUUGUAGGACACUCUAUACGGAGUUACAAAGGAACGAAGUAAAUGAAGCGACCUGGAAAGGUCCGUCGAAGAAGGUAACAACCCUGUAGUUGAAACUUCGUUCCCUCUUGAGUGGAUCCUGAGUACGGCGGAACACGUGAAAUUCCGUCGGAAGCUGGGAGGACCAUCUCCCAAGGCUAAAUACUACCUAGUGACCGAUAGUGAACCAGUACCGUGAGGGAAAGGUGAAAAGCACCCCGGAAGGGGAGUGAAAGAGAUCCUGAAACCGUGUGCCUACAAGUAGUCAGAGCCCGUUAACGGGUGAUGGCGUGCCUUUUGUAGAAUGAACCGGCGAGUUACGAUCCCAUGCAAGGUUAAGCUGAUAAGGCGGAGCCGUAGCGAAAGCGAGUCUGAAUAGGGCGUUUAGUAUGUGGUUGUAGACCCGAAACCAGGUGAUCUACCCAUGUCCAGGGUGAAGUUCAGGUAACACUGAAUGGAGGCCCGAACCCACGCACGUUGAAAAGUGCGGGGAUGAGGUGUGGGUAGCGGAGAAAUUCCAAUCGAACCUGGAGAUAGCUGGUUCUCUCCGAAAUAGCUUUAGGGCUAGCCUCAUGUUGUGAGAGUCUUGGAGGUAGAGCACUGAUUGGACUAGGGGCCCCCAACGGGUUACCGAAUUCAGUCAAACUCCGAAUGCCAAAGACUUAUCCAUGGGAGUCAGACUGCGAGUGAUAAGAUCCGUAGUCAAAAGGGAAACAGCCCAGACCACCAGCUAAGGUCCCCAAGUAUACGUUAAGUGGAAAAGGAUGUGGAGUUGCUUAGACAACCAGGAUGUUGGCUUAGAAGCAGCCACCAUUUAAAGAGUGCGUAAUAGCUCACUGGUCGAGUGACUCUGCGCCGAAAAUGUACCGGGGCUAAACGUAUCACCGAAGCUGUGGAUUGACAUCUUUGAUGUCAGUGGUAGGAGAGCGUUCUAAGUGCAGCGAAGUCAGACCGUAAGGACUGGUGGAGCGCUUAGAAGUGAGAAUGCCGGUAUGAGUAGCGAAAGACAAGUGAGAAUCUUGUCCACCGAAUGCCUAAGGUUUCCUGAGGAAGGCUCGUCCGCUCAGGGUUAGUCGGGACCUAAGCCGAGGCUGAAAAGCGUAGGCGAUGGCCAACAGGUUGAUAUUCCUGUACCACCUCCCCGCCGUUUGAGUAAUGGGGGGACGCAGUAGGAUAGGGUAAGCGCGCUGCUGGAUAUGCGCGUUCAAGCAGUUAGGCUGAUGAGUAGGCAAAUCCGCUCAUCAUAAAGGCUGAGCUGUGAUGACGAGGGAAUUAUAGUACCGAAGUUCCUGAUUCCACACUGCCAAGAAAAGCCUCUAGCGAGGCGGGAGGUGCCCGUACCGCAAACCGACACAGGUAGGCGAGGAGAGAAUCCUAAGGUGAUCGAGAGAACUCUCGUUAAGGAACUCGGCAAAAUGACCCCGUAACUUCGGGAGAAGGGGUGCUCUGGUAGGGUGUAUAGCCCGAGAGAGCCGCAGUGAAUAGGCCCAGGCGACUGUUUAGCAAAAACACAGGUCUCUGCGAAGCCGCAAGGCGAAGUAUAGGGGCUGACGCCUGCCCGGUGCUGGAAGGUUAAGAGGAGGGGUUAUCCUUUGGGAGAAGCUCUGAAUCGAAGCCCCAGUAAACGGCGGCCGUAACUAUAACGGUCCUAAGGUAGCGAAAUUCCUUGUCGGGUAAGUUCCGACCCGCACGAAAGGCGUAACGAUCUGGGCACUGUCUCAACGAGAGACUCGGUGAAAUUAUAGUACCUGUGAAGAUGCAGGUUACCCGCGACAGGACGGAAAGACCCCGUGGAGCUUUACUGUAGCCUGAUAUUGAAUUUUGGUACAGCUUGUACAGGAUAGGUAGGAGCCUGAGAAGCCGGAGCGCUAGCUUCGGUGGAGGCGUCGGUGGGAUACUACCCUGGCUGUAUUGAAAUUCUAACCCGCGGCCCUGAUCGGGCCGGGAGACAGUGUCAGGUGGGCAGUUUGACUGGGGCGGUCGCCUCCUAAAAUGUAACGGAGGCGCCCAAAGGUUCCCUCAGAAUGGUUGGAAAUCAUUCGUAGAGUGUAAAGGCACAAGGGAGCUUGACUGCGAGACCUACAAGUCGAGCAGGGACGAAAGUCGGGCUUAGUGAUCCGGUGGUUCCGCAUGGAAGGGCCAUCGCUCAACGGAUAAAAGCUACCCCGGGGAUAACAGGCUUAUCUCCCCCAAGAGUCCACAUCGACGGGGAGGUUUGGCACCUCGAUGUCGGCUCAUCGCAUCCUGGGGCUGUAGUCGGUCCCAAGGGUUGGGCUGUUCGCCCAUUAAAGCGGUACGCGAGCUGGGUUCAGAACGUCGUGAGACAGUUCGGUCCCUAUCCGUCGUGGGCGUAGGAAAUUUGAGAGGAGCUGUCCUUAGUACGAGAGGACCGGGAUGGAUACACCGCUGGUGUACCAGUUGUCUUGCCAAAGGCAUCGCUGGGUAGCUAUGUGUGGACGGGAUAAGUGCUGAAAGCAUCUAAGCAUGAAGCCCCCCUCAAGAUGAGAUUUCCCAUAGCGCAAGCUAGUAAGAUCCCUGAAAGAUGAUCAGGUUGAUAGGUCAGAGGUGGAAGCGUGGCGACAUGUGUAGCUGACUGAUACUAAUCGAUCGAGGACUUAACCAA
This 2936-nucleotide ribosomal RNA is filed under the name Priestia megaterium. RNAcentral's name for it is "23S ribosomal RNA". It matches the Rfam family "Bacterial large subunit ribosomal RNA". Lineage: Bacteria; Bacillati; Bacillota; Bacilli; Caryophanales; Bacillaceae. The record is from RNAcentral.